CUGUCCCGGUGGUCCCAGCCUCUUCCUGGGCCGUGGGGAGCGAGGGCCGAGGGCCGCGUCCGUGUGGUGACCCCGGCCCCGCCUGAGGGUGGAUGACGUUCAGAAUCGACAGGGCAUGCACCCCAGGGCAGCCCAGCCUCCAUUCCUGCAGCAGAGCACAGCACAACAGAUGACACAGGGGCUCUGACCCUGCCUCCCAGUGCACGUCCAGGUCCCCCACCCAUUGUCUGAGCGAGUCUGGGUCCAUGCUGGUGACUGCUCCAGGCCCACCACCCUGACUGUGACACCCACACAGCCCUCAUCUGCUUCCUCAACUCCCGGUCCUCUCCUGGAGGCACAGAAAGCAACCUUCACUGCCACUUUGGGAAUGGGGGACAUUCCUGUGCACCUUUGUGCGUCAUCACAGCCACGUCUGCAGACCUUGGGGGGCUCCUGCAAGUCCACCUGGGAAGAUGGCCAGAACUCUUUGAGGCCCCCUCCAGCUCAUUAACCAACCAUGGGGUCAGCCCACAAAGCCCCUUCCUGCCUGCUUCCUCUCCAGCCCUCUUCUUGCCCCUCUCCAGGUUAACCAAUUUUACCUAAUCAGAAGAUAAAAACUGCCCCAGACUCACCAUACUGUGAAUCUUUCAAGGCAAAAAGCAGAAUGUUUGAUUCAGUUGUUGCACAGUGACAGCUUUUCCCCUGAGGCAGUAGGUUCACAAUGCCAAAGGAUGGCAAACUCCAUGGGGUAGAAGGAAGAAACAUUACACGGGUCAACUCAGUGAUUUUCAGUAGUGAUCUCUGAUCACCUAGCAAGUUUGACACCUGCCAAGUGGACAGGAAGGGGCGCCUGUGGGGAGUGAAGAGUCAGGGGGCAUGUGGAGGUGCAGAGACAGGCAGGACCUUGGGCAGAGCUCGUCCCUCCCUGCGCCUGAGGUGACAAAAGACAGGGAGAGGGACACUUCCAGGAAGAUGGCGGAGUGCGUGACGUGGAGCGGGCCUCUCUGUGAAGGUAACUAGAGAGGGGCUGAAGAGCACCUGGAGCCAUGGUUUUCAGGUGUGACCAGCCAUAGAGGGUCCCCUACAGUGCGUGGUAGGGACAUGGAAGAAAAUUCGAGAGAGACGGUGGUUCCAGGGACAGGGUGAGUUUGUUCCCGUCGAGACAGCCUGCCAGGCAGCUGUCCAUUCAUGUGCACCUACCUGGACAGUGUGCUGGGUGGUGGGGAGCUCCCAGGAGGGAAACCUGGAGGCUGGGAUUGCUUACCCCCACGGAUGUCCAGGGGGGUGCAACAGCAAGAAGUGGGGAGGAGAGAGGCGCCAUAUUGGCAAUCAGGAACCUGUCCCACACCCCAGAGACUUGUGGGCACAUAGCAGGCAGAGAACCACCAGGGAGGACCUUUGUCCCACCUGCGGGUGCCCCUGAUUGGGCUGCCUGCCUACCUGCUUUGGGCCCAAGUUGCAGCCCCAGUGCUGGGAUUCCCCAGAGCACAUGGAGAUCCUGUGUAUUGAUUAUUCCCCAACCUGGUUUGGACUCCGCCCACUGCAAAGGAGAAGCUUGGGGAAGACCUACUUGAGAGUGCCACCUGCUGUUAGCUUAGGGAAACUGUACUCCGGCAAACCAGAUUAUAUAUAAAUGCUCAAUUAAUUUUGCACUUCCCAAAAUAACCCUAUCAAGAUAAGCAAAUGCCCCAAAGCCAACAGAAAAUCACAAAGCAUAGGAGUCACAAAAUUUGGAGCAAUUA
Long non-coding RNA from Choloepus didactylus (southern two-toed sloth), 1721 nucleotides. RefSeq lists it as uncharacterized. The transcript has 3 exons. Lineage: Eukaryota; Metazoa; Chordata; Mammalia; Pilosa; Megalonychidae. The record is from RefSeq and is a predicted model, not a curated record.